AGUCCCCUGGCCUGGUAGAGUGGCAGCUGGCUGGCGGUGCUCAUGUCAUACCAGCUAGGGACAAAGCAAACCCUUGUUUAUCCCAGCUUGGCUUUUAGUCACUGCCCAUUCCCAGUUCAUGUCUUGGACACAUGG
Small nucleolar RNA from Tupaia belangeri (northern tree shrew), 135 nucleotides. Lineage: Eukaryota; Metazoa; Chordata; Mammalia; Scandentia; Tupaiidae. The record is from Ensembl.